Molecule: non-coding RNA, 27 nt
Filed under: Homo sapiens (human)
Lineage: Eukaryota; Metazoa; Chordata; Mammalia; Primates; Hominidae
Source: RNAcentral
UGAGUCGAUGGGUGCAGCGAACAAACA